GGACUGGGCUGAUCCUGCCUCCCUGGCGGCCAGCCCUUUCUGAGGGUGUCUUUUUAGGAACCAGGUCUUCUUAUUUCAGACUAAGAAAACUGGAGAGUUCCUUGCAACGCAGGACCUACCGGGCGUGGGACUCUUCUAAUUGCUGCUCCCUAAUUGUGAUUAAGCAGCGCCAAAAGGGUUAUGAUCUUCAACAAUUUAAGGCUCAUCCAUACAACAAAUAUUUAUUAAAUGCCUACCAUGUAGUGGUAUCUAAGCAAUGGAGAUGCAUAGGCCAGUGGGGAUGACUCAGAAUGGAUGCUGGGACUGCAGGUGGGCACGGUGAUGCUGAGGCACCAGGAGCAGGGAACUAUCACCUACAGGAUGCCUGAGGACAGGGAUGUUUGGUGGAACAGGAAAUGAAGGACUUCACUGUUUCAUGGCAAGGAUGCCACCUUCAGUAUCCGGGGUAGAAUGGGUGCCUGGAGAAAUGUGAAAACCCCGUACACGGCUCUGGCAUUUCUGUGUGUAGAACAGUAAUGGUUUCAACAGAGGACAGCACUGCUGUGCUCCAGCGAGAGCUUCUUUCUCGGCCUUUGGGAACAGUCCCUCCAGGAAUCAUCCUGAAGGGCGGCAACAGGUGAAAGUGUCUUGAGGGCUUCCUGCUAGUUCGUGGACCACUACGACCCUGAUCUGAGCCCUGGGUGCUUCCCAGACAGUCCUCCCCCAGUGCACAGUGAUGCAACCAGCGCAAAUGGAAGGAAGUACUAAGCUGAGUCGUAUUGGAGCCUGAGGCAAAAGAAAAAAUCAAC
This 788-nucleotide long non-coding RNA is filed under the name Equus asinus (donkey). Its description in RNAcentral is "lncRNA (ENSEASG00005024549.1)". The record is from RNAcentral. Lineage: Eukaryota; Metazoa; Chordata; Mammalia; Perissodactyla; Equidae.